Molecule: ribosomal RNA, 333 nt
Filed under: Triticum aestivum (bread wheat)
Lineage: Eukaryota; Viridiplantae; Streptophyta; Magnoliopsida; Poales; Poaceae
Description: partial small subunit ribosomal RNA
Source: RNAcentral
AUGGACGCUGUGGACUCCUCCACUUCGCCGUACUCGCCGCCGUCGCUGCGCCACAAGCUGCGGACCACCGUGUGCGGCUGCUUCGGCUCCCCCUCCUCACCAGGCAGCGCAGGGGAGAGGCCGCAAAGCGGGGGCAGGGCCAGGUGGAGGAGGCGCGUGGCGGCCGCUGGGGAGUUCAGGUACGACCCGCUCAGCUACGCGCUCAACUUCGACGACGGCGGCAGCGACGACGGCGCGGAAGCAGAGGACGCAGCCUUCCGGUACCGGAACUUCAACUCUCGCCUGCCGCCCUCGCCGCCAGCGCCGGCCUCCAGAGCCGUUGCCAUCGCCUGA